RNAcentral lists this transfer RNA (77 nucleotides) under Salmonella enterica subsp. enterica. RNAcentral's name for it is "tRNA-OTHER". It matches the Rfam family "tRNA". Rfam says of the family: Transfer RNA (tRNA) molecules are approximately 80 nucleotides in length. Their secondary structure includes four short double-helical elements and three loops (D, anti-codon, and T loops). Further hydrogen bonds mediate the characteristic L-shaped molecular structure. tRNAs have two regions of fundamental functional importance: the anti-codon, which is responsible for specific mRNA codon recognition, and the 3' end, to which the tRNAs corresponding amino acid is attached (by aminoacyl-tRNA synthetases). tRNAs cope with the degeneracy of the genetic code in two manners: having more than one tRNA (with a specific anti-codon) for a particular amino acid; and 'wobble' base-pairing, i.e. permitting non-standard base-pairing at the 3rd anti-codon position. Lineage: Bacteria; Pseudomonadati; Pseudomonadota; Gammaproteobacteria; Enterobacterales; Enterobacteriaceae. The record is from RNAcentral.
GCCGACUUAGCUCAGUAGGUAGAGCAACUGCCCUGUAAUCGUAGGUCACCAGCGUUCGAUUCCGGUAGUCGGCACCA